GCGUUGUUAGUUUAAGGGUAGAAUAUUAGCCUUCCAAGCUGAUGGCCGGGGUUCGAGUCCCCGACAACGCA
Molecule: non-coding RNA, 71 nt
Organism: Cunninghamella echinulata
Lineage: Eukaryota; Fungi; Mucoromycota; Mucoromycetes; Mucorales; Cunninghamellaceae
Source: the annotation of a GenBank genome assembly